UUGCCUAUUUUGCAAUCACAUUUCCUUUGC
This 30-nucleotide non-coding RNA is filed under the name Mus musculus (house mouse). Lineage: Eukaryota; Metazoa; Chordata; Mammalia; Rodentia; Muridae. The record is from RNAcentral.